GAGUAAUGCCUAGGAAAUUGCCCUGAUGUGGGGGAUAACCAUUGGAAACGAUGGCUAAUACCGCAUGAUGCCUACGGGCCAAAGAGGGGGACCUUCGGGCCUCUCGCGUCAGGAUAUGCCUAGGUGGGAUUAGCUAGUUGGUGAGGUAAGGGCUCACCAAGGCGACGAUCCCUAGCUGGUCUGAGAGGAUGAUCAGCCACACUGGAACUGAGACACGGUCCAGACUCCUACGGGAGGCAGCAGUGGGGAAUAUUGCACAAUGGGCGCAAGCCUGAUGCAGCCAUGCCGCGUGUGUGAAGAAGGCCUUCGGGUUGUAAAGCACUUUCAGUCGUGAGGAAGGUAGUGUAGUUAAUAGCUGCAUUAUUUGACGUUAGCGACAGAAGAAGCACCGGCUAACUCCGUGCCAGCAGCCGCGGUAAUACGGAGGGUGCGAGCGUUAAUCGGAAUUACUGGGCGUAAAGCGCAUGCAGGUGGUUUGUUAAGUCAGAUGUGAAAGCCCGGGGCUCAACCUCGGAAUUGCAUUUGAAACUGGCAGACUAGAGUACUGUAGAGGGGGGUAGAAUUUCAGGUGUAGCGGUGAAAUGCGUAGAGAUCUGAAGGAAUACCGGUGGCGAAGGCGGCCCCCUGGACAGAUACUGACACUCAGAUGCGAAAGCGUGGGGAGCAAACAGGAUUAGAUACCCUGGUAGUCCACGCCGUAAACGAUGUCUACUUGGAGGUUGUGGCCUUGAGCCGUGGCUUUCGGAGCUAACGCGUUAAGUAGACCGCCUGGGGAGUACGGUCGCAAGAUUAAAACUCAAAUGAAUUGACGGGGGCCCGCACAAGCGGUGGAGCAUGUGGUUUAAUUCGAUGCAACGCGAAGAACCUUACCUACUCUUGACAUCCAGAGAACUUUCCAGAGAUGGAUUGGUGCCUUCGGGAACUCUGAGACAGGUGCUGCAUGGCUGUCGUCAGCUCGUGUUGUGAAAUGUUGGGUUAAGUCCCGCAACGAGCGCAACCCUUAUCCUUGUUUGCCAGCGAGUAAUGUCGGGAACUCCAGGGAGACUGCCGGUGAUAAACCGGAGGAAGGUGGGGACGACGUCAAGUCAUCAUGGCCCUUACGAGUAGGGCUACACACGUGCUACAAUGGCGCAUACAGAGGGCAGCCAACUUGCGAAAGUGAGCGAAUCCCAAAAAGUGCGUCGUAGUCCGGAUUGGAGUCUGCAACUCGACUCCAUGAAGUCGGAAUCGCUAGUAAUCGUGGAUCAGAAUGCCACGGUGAAUACGUUCCCGGGCCUUGUACACACCGCCCGUCACACCAUGGGAGUGGGCUGCAAAAGAAGUAGGUAGUUUAACCUUCGGGGGGACGCUUACCACUUUGUGGUUCAUGACUGGGGUGAAGUCGUAACAAGGUAGCGCUAGGGGAACCUGGCGCUGGAUCACCUCCUUA
RNAcentral lists this ribosomal RNA (1429 nucleotides) under Vibrio parahaemolyticus. Its description in RNAcentral is "bacterial SSU rRNA". It matches the Rfam family "Bacterial small subunit ribosomal RNA". Lineage: Bacteria; Pseudomonadati; Pseudomonadota; Gammaproteobacteria; Vibrionales; Vibrionaceae. The record is from RNAcentral.